This 196-nucleotide non-coding RNA is filed under the name Candidatus Omnitrophota bacterium. Its description in RNAcentral is "Candidatus Omnitrophica bacterium 6S RNA". It matches the Rfam family "6S / SsrS RNA". Rfam says of the family: E. coli 6S RNA was the first non coding RNA to be sequenced, but its function was unknown until recently. It consists of 184 nucleotides that fold into an extended hairpin structure with a large single-stranded internal bulge. The record is from RNAcentral. Lineage: Bacteria; Pseudomonadati; Candidatus Omnitrophota.
AGUUCCCUGCUUUGCGCGCGAGAAGAAAACGAAAAAUCUGAACCAACAAAUUUAUAAAGGGAACCUAACUUCGUAUAUGGCACGCACGUCCCCCAUGUAGUGGUAGCGCGGGGAAAGCGUAAAGUAUGCGGGAGGGUGCCCACCUGUAAUUAACAGGUUCACAGAUUUGACGUUUCCACGGCACGGCGGGGACGUU